UUAACCUGGCCUUGACAUACUAAGAACUUUCCAGAGAUGGAUUGGUGCCUUCGGGAACUUAGAUACAGGUGCUGCAUGGCUGUCGUCAGCUCGUGUCGUGAGAUGUUGGUAAGUCCCGCAACGAGCGCAACCCUUUUCCUUAUUGCCAGCGGGUUAAGCCGGGAACUUUAAGGAUACUGCCAGUGACAAACUGGAGGAAGGCGGGGACGACGUCAAGUCAUCAUGGCCCUUACGGCCAGGGCUACACACGUGCUACAAUGGUCGGUACAAAGGGUUGCUACCUCGCGAGAGGAUGCUAAUCUCAAAAAAGCCGAUCGUAGUCCGGAUCGCAGUCUGCAACUCGACUGCGUGAAGUCGGAAUCGCUAGUAAUCGCGGAUCAGAAUGCCGCGGUGAAUACGUUCCCGGGCCUUGUACACACCGCCCGUCACACCAUGGGAGUUUGUUGCACCAGAAGUAGGUAGUCUAACCGCAAGGAGGACGCUUACCACGGUGUGGCCGAUGACUGGGGUGAAGUCGUAACAAGGUAAGCGUAGAUGA
Molecule: ribosomal RNA, 538 nt
Filed under: uncultured bacterium
Lineage: Bacteria
Description: bacterial SSU rRNA
Rfam family: Bacterial small subunit ribosomal RNA
Source: RNAcentral